AUUGAACGCUGGCGGCAUGCCUUACACAUGCAAGUCGAACGGUAACAGGUCUUCGGAUGCUGACGAGUGGCGAACGGGUGAGUAAUACAUCGGAACGUGCCCAGACGUGGGGGAUAACGGGGCGAAAGCUUUGCUAAUACCGCAUACGAUCUAAGGAUGAAAGCAGGGGACCGCAAGGCCUUGUGCGUUUGGAGCGGCCGAUGGCAGAUUAGGUAGUUGGUGGGAUAAAAGCUUACCAAGCCGACGAUCUGUAGCUGGUCUGAGAGGACGACCAGCCACACUGGGACUGAGACACGGCCCAGACUCCUACGGGAGGCAGCAGUGGGGAAUUUUGGACAAUGGGCGAAAGCCUGAUCCAGCAAUGCCGCGUGCAGGAUGAAGGCCUUCGGGUUGUAAACUGCUUUUGUACGGAACGAAAAGGCUCUGGCUAAUACCUGGGGCACAUGACGGUACCGUAAGAAUAAGCACCGGCUAACUACGUG
RNAcentral lists this ribosomal RNA (482 nucleotides) under uncultured bacterium. Its description in RNAcentral is "partial 16S ribosomal RNA". It matches the Rfam family "Bacterial small subunit ribosomal RNA", at positions 30 to 507 of the family's 1533-position model. The record is from RNAcentral.